UAUCGCCAAGCGGUAAGGCACUGGAUUUUGAUUCCAGUAUUCGCAGGUUCGAAUUCUGCUAAAGAA
This 66-nucleotide transfer RNA is filed under the name Caudoviricetes sp. Its description in RNAcentral is "tRNA-Gln". It matches the Rfam family "tRNA", at positions 6 to 65 of the family's 71-position model. Rfam says of the family: Transfer RNA (tRNA) molecules are approximately 80 nucleotides in length. Their secondary structure includes four short double-helical elements and three loops (D, anti-codon, and T loops). Lineage: Duplodnaviria; Heunggongvirae; Uroviricota; Caudoviricetes. The record is from RNAcentral.